This is a non-coding RNA of Mycena alexandri, 94 nucleotides long. The record is from the annotation of a GenBank genome assembly. Lineage: Eukaryota; Fungi; Basidiomycota; Agaricomycetes; Agaricales; Mycenaceae.
GACUCGAUGGCGGAUGGUCCGCACCUGCUUUCGUUGGCUGUCCGAGAACGUCAUUUACGAGCAGGAAAUGCCGGUUCGAUUCCGGCUCGAGUCU